Molecule: long non-coding RNA, 10939 nt
Filed under: Manihot esculenta (cassava)
Lineage: Eukaryota; Viridiplantae; Streptophyta; Magnoliopsida; Malpighiales; Euphorbiaceae
Description: long non-coding RNA (MESC_LNC001125)
Source: RNAcentral
AAAAUAUCACGUGAAUUUUGCCUGUUUCACAAUUCCUUCCCAAUUUCGCCAAUCCUAAAUUUUCUCUCCUUAAUUUCUCUUUUAAUCACACCAUCGCUGCUACUGUUGCCGACACAAGUUCUUUGCCGGUCUAUCUCCGGUCAACCUCCACCACCAUCAUCACUGAGUCUUCCUUGCUCGACAUUGCUCACAUGAUUGAUCGAGGGUUUGUUCCCUAUCAUCAGUAGUAAGUUAUUUCCUCUCAUCCUUCUCUUGAUAGCCACGUUCCCUAUCAUCGGUGGCUAGUUACCAUCGCCGGCACAAGGUAAGCUUGUUAGUUUCAAUGUUGCUGAUGUAUUUGCGGGUUAUUUCUUCUUUCCCACCAUCACUGUGCCUCAUUCAAUGACUUGUCAAUAUUUCUGGUUCCUCAUUUUACUCUUAUUGCUAGUUUUCAAUUCCUUUAAUUUUGUAGUUUCCGUUGAUUUUAUUUCUGCAAUUUCUUUAUUGAAUUGUCUAAGCACUGUAUUAUAACUUAUGGGUUCUGAUUUAGUUUAUCAAUGUCAUGAAUGCAGAGGCCCAUUUGUGCCUAGUAGGUUGUCUAGUUCACUUUGUGUAUGGACUUUUUAUGCUAGGAUUCUUAUAAGCUUAUUAUUCAAUAGUUAUGCAAUUAUGUUUCUGUUUUUAACAUUAUUAACUUUGAGGCUGUUGAUUUUGCUGCUGAGCUGCAAUUUUACUGAGUUAACUUAAAAUUUUUUUUCAUCAUCUAAGAUAAUACUUGAGGGGUGUUGUAGAAUGGUAGGAGUCUUUCAUAGCAGCUAAUGAGCUUCUGCAAUCUUCUGCCUCUUUUGCAAUCUUCUACAAUUUUACUGAGUUAACUUUAAUUUUUUUUUUUGUAAUUCUUUAUAAUCUUUUCAUCCUCUGCCUAUUAUGCACUUGAGCUCUUUUUGAAGAGAUGCAAUAAGAUGAAAUUACUUGUUGCCAAAUAUUUCUCUCCCAUCGAUGCCUCCAAUUAUUGGUUACUCAUAAAAUCCUAAGUCUAAACUGAAAAAGAAACCUAAAAUUCACUUAUUUGGUGUCUUAAUGAAGGCUAAAUGCAUAAAAUUAUCAACUUUUGUCAAGGUUUUGAGAUCAUAAGCAAUCCAGCAUCUGGAUGACUGUGUGUGAUAGAAAUAACCCAAACACUUGCAAUCUUUGGUGCAUUUGCUGCUGCAAGCAUCCUGAUUCAUGGGUCCAUUUCCUCGUGUACUUGGACAUGAAAUGAUCAACUCCUCCUAGUUUGUAGUAUUUAAAAUAUUUCACUCCACAUGAAGAUAUUUUUGCUGGCUUGCAAUCUUUGCUCCACCCCAACAAGCCUUUUGGUGAUGGACAAGCAACACAUUGAUUAUCCUGGCAUAGCCCAAAGUUCCCACAUCUUUCUGGCAACUGGCAUUCUGUUUCAAUAGAGUCUCUCGAAAACAAAGUGUUCCCAAGCAUCUGAAUUUGCAUUAUCUUCAUAAGUGUGUAUUCUAAGGUUUUCAUCCAUUUCCAACCGAAGAUAAGACAAUGUGGUAUUGUAUUUAGGCCUUCUCAGAUUGAGUUCCUCAUAAGAGAAAUUAGGACCAUGGAAUUCUAAGUAUAAAUUUAAGCUUAUUGCCACUUGAUUCAAAGGAGCCUUUGGUGCAAUAAAUAAUUCAGAAAAUGAGACGUAAAGGAAUGGUUUUACUACAACAUAAGCAGCAGCAACUGCAGGCACCUGCCACAGCAGCAGCAACGGCUGCUGUGCAGCAUAGAAGCAGCAGCAACAACUGCAGCUGCGAGCAUCUACCACAACAGAUUUAAGAAAUAGAUUAACAGAGUUGAAGCAUAAAAUAUCAAAAGUUUAGGUUAAAAUUUACUUUGGUAUUGUUUGCGAUGAUUAUUAAUUACUUUGGUAGUGUAGUUUUUGAUAUAGAAAAAUUCAUAGUUGCUGAUCUUGGUUAUAGUUCAAGUUAAAUUUCUUAGGAAAUUAAUAAAUCAAUUAGCUCAUUAAUUCUUUAACAAGAGCAAUUAUCGUCAUGUUAAAUUCAAUUAAUGUGCAUUUAAUACUUCAAAAUUCAUUUAACACUUCAUUGAUGUUCUACUAUUUGGUUAUUCUUUAACACUUCGAAAUUCAUUUCACAUUAACUUUUAAGCAUAUUUACCUACCACAUAUAUGUUGCCAGAUAGAAGCUAGAUGUUUUUUCAGUUGAAAGAGUGUUUAUUGGAUCCCAUAUUCUUGGAUGAGAUAAAUGAAUUUAUUUAGACGGCUAAGAACUUUCCAGGUUGUUAUGGUGAUAAAAUUUUCAUUGUCUAUACAACAGAUUUAAGUGUCAAAAUCGUAGCUUCUAUGAUGAAAAUACCAUCAAGUAUCAUUUGAUGAAGCAUGGUUUUGUAUAAUCUCAAAAACUUUCUUUAAGUGAUUUAUUGGCUAAGGUUAAUUAGCGAGUGUUUUCUAAUUAAUUUAAACCUAAGGAGAGAUUGGUCAUGUGGAGCGUCUUCCAUAACUAUAACUAAUUUAUUAGAAUGAAUAAAAGUGUUUUUGUUUCGAUGAUCAAUUCCCAAACUAAAAGGAAUCCUACACUUCAACUAGAAUUUGUUUAUAUUGGUUUAUUUCUCUUUUAAUUAUCGUCUUCUUUAAUUUCUUUCAUUUUUAUUUUAACUCAUCAUCAAAACUCCCUUUUUACUUUUAUUGUUUAUUUUCCUAGUUAAUGUUUAGAAAUUCUUAGUGUCAAUUCCUUGUGGAUUCGAUCUUAUUCUCUCUAUAUGCAAUUCAUAUUUGUUGGUUCUUAAUAGGUUAUUUUGGUAGCUUUGACACCCAUAAAAAAUUAGCGUCGUUGCUGGAAAAUUGAUUUAAACUAACCUAUUUCCUUUCAUGACCAAGUCGGAAUGUAAAGAAAAUUUGCUUUACGACCCAGAAAUUGAACGUACUGCCAAGAACUUAAGAAGACAAGCAAAUACGAGCAACCAAGCCUCAAAACCAUCUUCAUCUGCAACCGGUGAAGAGACAACAACAGUCCUGGAUCUUGUUGUACAACGAGUUGCAGAGGUGACAAACCCUGCCGCAGCAAACACAUCAACUGUUGCACCAGAAGUACCCCACGAAUAUCUGCAGUGGGUAGACUAGAACCAGUACCAGUUGAAGUCGAAGUUGAACACAUUGAAGUAAGAGCUCCAAUGGCACAAGAGAGAACUCUUCGUGAAUUAGCAACCCUUAUGGGUGAUCAAGCACCAUUGUGCAUCACUUUCUCACCUCUGGCAGUCUCUUUUGAGUUUAAAACUAGAUUAAUUCAUCUUCUUCUAAAAUUUAGAGGCCUAAAAAAUGAAGAUCCAUUCAAACACCUCAAAAAAUUUCACAUUGUGUGCUUAACCAUGAGGCCCCAAGGUAUAUCCAAAGAACAUGUUAAACUAAAAGCCUUUUCCUUCUCCCUUGAUGAUUCGACCAAAGACUAGUUAUUCUACUUACCACCCGGAUACAUUACCUCAUGGGUUGGGAUGGUAAGGGCCUUCUUGAGUAAAUAGUUCCCAACCUCAAAGGCCAUUGACAUCAGGAGAGAGAUUAGUGGUAUCAAGCAGAAGGAUUUUGAAGAACUAUAUGAAUAUUGGGAAAGAUUCAAAUGGUUGUGCACAAGCUGCCCUCAACAUGACAUCUUUGACAAAUCUCUCAUUGAAUACUUCUACGGAGGUUUGUUACCUUUAGAAAUGAGAUUGAUUGAUGCAGCGUGUGGAGGAUCAAUUGAGGACAAGACACCUCAAGCCAUAAAAGACUUAAUCUCCACUAUGGUAGCAACCUCAAAACAAUAUGGAGAUCAAAGGGAACCGCCUAGGAGAGUUAAUAAGGUAAGUACAUCUUCCUUAGCCUCACAGAUUGCUGAUUUAAUAUCUGUUGUAUGGAGUUUGGUUGUAGGUCAAACUCAACAAGACCCUGUGGGAUCUAUCCACGGUAGGACAUCCAACUGACAUGUGUCUUUCUCUUCAAGAGGAAGAGCAGCAAGUCAAUUACAUUGGGGGAUUUAAUGGCCAGAGAAAAUUUGAUCCAUACUCCAACACCUACAACCCAGGAUGGAGGGAGCACCCGAAUUUCAGUUAUGCUAGGGCAAACCAAUUUCAAAACUAUCAGCAAAGGAAUUCUGCCAAACAGUCCCUCAAAAAUCAGGUAUACCUCUAGAAGAGAUCGUAAAAUCUCUAGCAAACACAAUUCAGAAUCUAGAAUAACAAAUCAGUCAAGUUGCCACAUCAGUAAGUAAGUUAGAGUCGCAAGGGAAAUUACCAUACCAAACGGAGAUCAACCCAAAAUAGAAUGCCAAUGCUAUAACCUUGAGAAGUGGGAAGGAACUGCAGAGUGACAAACUGGAAUAGUGAUUUGCCCAAACCUUUAGGCAAACCGUUGAGAAAGAGCUGCAGAGUGAUGUCUUUGAGUCGUGAUUUGCCCAAACCUUUGGGCAAACCACUGAGAAGUAGGCUAAGGAGGCUACACUAGAAUAGUAGAAAGCAGACAAAAGGAGGCCACCUGACCAAUUCAAAAUUCCCCCAUCAUUUCUAGAAAGGCUAGCAAGGUCCAAAAAGGAAAAGGAAGAGAAAGAAAUACUUAAAACCUUUCGCAAAGUGAAGAUAAACAUACAUUUACUAGAUGCCGUAUGCCGUCAAGCAAAUACCUUGCUAUGCAAAGUUUUUGAAGGAACUAUGAACCAGCCGCAGGAGACUUGCUGAACAUGAAAAAGUGAGUGUAGGAGAAUGUGUUUCGGCUGUUAUCCAAAGAAAACUUCUUGCCAAGUGCAAAUACCGAGGAAUGUUUGCUGUUUUAUGCAAGAUAGGUAACAUUGGCGUAAAAAAAGUCAUGUGCGACCUUGGGGCAUUAAUCAACGUUAUGCCCCUCUCCAUUUAUGAUUCAUUGAAUGCAAGAAUACUGAAAAGCACCAGCAUCGUCAUUCAGUUGGUCGACAGGUCCAUUGUCUAUCCAAAAGGCGUCCUAGAAGAUGUUUUGGUGCACGUAGAUCAGUUGGUCUUUCUAGCUCAUUUUUAUGUGAUUGAGAUGGAGGACAAAAGCAAUGCAACAUCAGACAAUUUACUUGGGAGACCAUUUUUGAGCACGGCCAGGACAAAGAUAGAUGUGUAUGAUGGUACACUAACCAUGAAAUUUGAAGGGGAAGUAAUCAAGUUUAAUAUUUAUGAUGCAAUGAAAUUUCCUAAUGAUAUAUCUCCUGUCUAUGGUUUAGAUGUAAUUGAUUGCUUAAGUCGAUAGGUCUUUGAAUUAAAAUAAGAUGACAAGCUCAAUGUUGUUCUAUGCAGGAACAUUAAUCCGGAGAAUGUGGAAGGCAAAAGAAGCAUGGAAGAAGUAGAAAUAUGGGAGACAACGUGGAAAUCUGAGAUGCUAGUAACAGACCCCAUCAUCCAAGCUCAUAACUAGGAUUUUCCCUUUGAGAUUAUGUGUGACGCUAGCAACUACGCUGUGGGGGCAGUAUUGGGGCAACAGGUUGGCAAUAUUCCUCAUGUUAUUCACUAUGCCUUCCGUACUCUCAACGCUGCACAGUGCAACUAUUCCACAACUGAAAAAGAGCUCUUGGCUGUAGUAUUUGCUCUGGAGAAGUUUCACUCUUACCUUCUUGGCACAAAAGUAAUUAUCUAUUCUGACCAUACAACAUUCUGAUACUUGAUAAAAAAGGUGGCAAAACCGAGACUCAUCUGUUGGAUACUACUCUUUCAAGAAUUUAAUCUGGAAAUCCGAGACAAGAAAGGAAAGGAAAAUCUUGUGGCUAACCACCUAAGUUGCCUUCCCACAGAACUGGAGUCAUGCCCAAUUAAUGAAGAAUUUCCCGAUGAACAACUGCUUGCUGUCCAAUCAACCUUCCCCUGGUAUGCUGACAUCAUCAACUACCUGGCCACUGGCGAUUUGCCCAAACACGAGAAAAAGUGAAGAGCGAUUCCAAAUACUAUGUCUGGGAUGAGCCAUACCUAUAGAAGUACUGUUCUGACCAAGUGAUCAGGAGAUGCAUCCUGGAAUAAGAGAUAGCUUCAGUUUUAGCCUUCUGUCAUUCACAUGCUUGUAGAGGACACUUUGAUCCACGCAAGAUAGCUCAGAAAAUCCUUGAGUAUGGUUUAUUUUGGCCCAACAUAUUUCAUGAUUCUUAUUUUUUUUGUAGGUCAUGUACCAAAUGCUAGCAAUCUGGAAAUCUGAGUAGCAGAAACCAAAUGCCAUGACAUCCAUUAUGGUCUGUGAAAUCUUUGACAUAUGGGGGAUAGACUUCAUGGGACCAUUUCCAUUAUCUUUUGGAUACACUUACAUAAUACUUGCUGUAGAUUAUGUGUCAGAAUGGAUAGAGACUAAAGCAACCAGAACAGAUGAUGCCAAUGUAGUGGAGUUUAUCAAGACUUAUAUUAUUUCCAGCUGUGGCAUGCCUAAAGCAAUUAUUAGUGACUGAGGAAUCCACUUCUUCAACAAGGUGAUGGACACCCUUUUCAAGAAAUACCAGGUCAUUCACAGGACAUCCACUGCGUACCACCCACAAACGUGCAAGCUGAAGUGUCAAACAGAGAAAUCAAAGCUAUUAUGGAAAAAACAGUUUGCUCAAACCGAAAAGACUGGAGUAUGCGCUUUGAUGAUACUUUAUGGGCCUAUCGGACUGCAUACAAGACACCUAUAGGGAUGUCUCCGUACCGGUUAGUUUAUGGAAAAGCAUGUGACCUACAUGUUGAACUAGAACACAAAGCUUAGUAGGCUGUUAAAAACUCCAAUCUUAGCAUUGAUGAGGCAGGUUCAUAUAGGGGGUUGCAACUAUAAGAGUUGGAAGAGUUAAGGAGUGAUGCAUAUAACACUUCUUGGAAUUACAAGGCCAGAACUAAAGCUUUACAUGACAACCAUAUUUUCAGAAGGCAGUUUAAUAUUGGCGACAAGGUUUAACUUUUUGAUUCACGUUUAAAACUAUUUCUAGGAAAACUAAGGUCCCAUUGGAUUGGGCCCUUCAUUGUUGAACACAUUUUUCUCCAUGGUGCUAUGAAAAUUUGAAGUUUAGGUACAGGGAAAAUUUUUAAAGUCAACGGAUAUUGCUUGAAGCCAUAUUAUGAAGGGUUUGCAAUUCAAGUUGUUGAGAACAUCUCCCUGGGUAACCCACCUUUUUCGGUUUGAUCAAAUCAGGAAUGUCCAGCCCGCAAAUUUAAACCAGGGUGCUUACUGGGAGGCAACCCAGUGGGGAUGAUUUGCCUAAAUCAUAACUCAAAUCGCAUAACUAGAAGGCUGUGAGACUAUUACUAACUAUCCCGGGAAAACCUCUCCCCCCUAUCACUUUUAUUUGUUUUGUUUUAUUUUUCACUUACUUUCGUUUCUGCUCUCUUACCCUCUAUGCCAGGUGUCCUCUCAAGCAAACACUUUCCGAAAGAACAUGGUGUGAAGCAAGAUGGUGGGCACUACUAGACCAGGCCAAUGGCACCGCCUAGGCCCCCCCAAACCGGUGCACGAACCCACGGAUAGUGAGAAUGAGCCAAUCGUCAACCCUCAAUCCGUUGUAGACAUUGCCACCGAAAUUGAGUCAUCGGUUGUACCAUUGCUGCACACUUCAUUACCGCAAUCGCUUGUCGUCAGCACCUACCGAUGUCGGCCACGAGCACUGCCCAUGACACUGUUUUCUGAACCACAAGCCAAAAGCAUAGAGACACACCAAGAAAUGCCAUCACCAUCGCCUUCUCUUCUAGCCCUUCAUGGACAGAAGCGUUCUGUGCCAACGCCAUCAUCCUAGUGCCCUAGCACUAGGCGGCGCAUCAAUUCUUCCACCAGUGGGCCAACCACAUCCUCUGAUUACCAUAGCACCCCCAGUUCUAGUUGUUAUUUGCCCAAGUCAUCGCCUUCAGGUCACUCCUUGAAAAUCCUGGUUUUUAAUAAGUAGAUUGAACGAACUAGGUACGACACUUUUUCUCUCUCCCUUACAUACCAGGUGAGUUUCUGCACCUAGACACAUUGCAUACAUUGGGUAAUCGGGAAGAGGUAGAAGCUUUAAUCGAUGGUAUUGGUUGGAGAACAUUCUUUCACUUGCGCAUGCCUGCUUUCACUGAACUUGUUCAUGGUUCUACUGCACCUUGUUCUUUGACAAAACUGCUACGCUCACUGUCCACACACUGGACAUUGUUAGCUUUUGGCUAUUAGUACACCGCUUUCAUAUGUCUAUGAUUGAGUUUAAUUCUGCACUGGGUUUUAAACCUUAAAUUCUUAUUUGUGAUUUUCCUUAUGAUUUUGAUGUUGCUGUUGCCUAUUCUGAUCUUUGUGAUAAUCCUCCUGAUGCAUACUGCCUUAAUAAAUCAAAAGAUUUAUUUUUGCACAAUCCAUGUUUUAAAUACUUGCACAGAUUUUUGGCUUACACUUUUUCUGGACGCAAAGACGCGUCAAACAUUUUAACCAAAAUUGUACUUUUUUUUUCUUUGGUGCAUGGUGUCUGGGCGCACGUUCAACUUUGGAUUCUGGCUUGCCACCCAGAUUUCUGGAAUCUUAUCUUAUCACCGUCCCCUCAUUCUUAGCCUUGUUAUGACUUUGCUUGUCGUUAAUCUGCACCUUUUUUUAUCCUGAGCAGACUGGCCUUCACCAGACUGGUGAACCAAUCCCCUAGAUCUGCAUAUCUUAGAUGACAUGGGGUUGCUUCGCAAGGUGGGUGGUGCUUUCUCACUAACCCCUGCAAGACCAGUAGUGCCAUGAGCGUGUGUUUCAAAGGAAUCACCCAGCAUUAACAGCAGCCCAGGCAGAAGCACCACAAGCAACAGCUCCACCAGCAGCAGCUCCAGUAGAGGCACUAGCUGGUGCUCCUCCUAAUCCCUCUAUAGAUGCUCGAUUGGAUAUAAUUGAUGCUCAUAUUCAGCAUAUGGAGGACAUAUUGCAACUCCUGGUUAAUCACUUUCUGCCUGGGCUCACCAACACCAUUGAUUUAGCCAUGGAUUUACCCAAAUCCACACCCUUGGGAAGUUACUCUCUUACUCCAUAUUUUAUUUUCCAUUGAGGAUAAUGUUUAGAAUAGGUGUGGGAUAUUACUUUGAUAUUGGCUUAUAUGCACUGCUGUAUAUACAAUUGUUCACAUAUUUCUUCUCAUCUUUUCACACAUGCAUAGAAUUUCACAGAAUGUCAUAAUUUUCUUUUUACCAAGCAUGUCAAAAAAGUCAUAAAAGCCUCUCUCUCAUGACCUUAUUUGUUUGCUCAUCCUUUAAACCUUUAUUGAAUCACUUACAGUUGGUUGCAUUUUUUUUUGGAGUUUCUUUUUAUUUGAAUCCUUUUGCUCACUAUAGUUUAAAUGGCUAUCAUUAAUCAAAGGGAGAUGAGCAAAUCUGAAAAUUGUGUGUGAUAGGAAUAGCUUAUGCAGUGAUUAGUGCCUUGAUUUUCCCAAACCACAAUAGCCAAAUCAUAAAAAAAAAAAAAAAGAGAAAAGCAGAAAAUUUAAAGUACACAGCACAAAGUAAAACUUACUCCACUGGUCAAAGAUUAUGAGAAGAGCUAGUAGCCACUUGAACAAUGUGAUCAACUGAGUAACUAGGGAUGGGUAUCACAAAUAUGCACCUUCGCGUAAAAAGAUUGAUGAUUUUUCAAGCAAGAAUAAAGUGCUUAAAGUUGAAUGUAUACUAAAGUGGUAAGGGCAGGUCGUGCUAAAAGCUGCAUAGUCAAACCAAAGAAUAUUUGUGUAUGAAUGAAAAUAUUAAUUCUCUCUCUUUUGAGGAAAGCACCUUUGAGCCCCGAUUAAUAAAAAGAAACAAAGAAGGGAGAGAUAAACUUAGUGCGUGUUGGCAACACUGUGAUGCUUUAGUUUAGGAGUCUAGAGUAUUAAACUAAGUGGACAUCAGGAUCAAGUAGAAAAAGGUUUGAUUGUCUAAAUUGUCUUAUGUUUGAGGACAAGCAAGAAGUUAGGUGUUGGGGUAUUUGAUCGAACGUAAUUUCAAUAUAUUUUUCAUACUUUUCUUAACUAAUUUUUAAUUUUUUAUUAUAUUUUGCAGAAAAACAAAAAGAGAAGAAGAUUUGAUAAAAAGUGGUUUAAAAGUGUUGAAAUUGACUUGACCAAUGAUUUGGACAAACCCAUAAGAUGAUCAUACUGCAUAGAAGCCAUAAAUAGCCUAGACCCGCAAGCUGAGUUAAUAAUUUUCAAAUGGUGGAUUUGACCAGCGAUUUGCUUAAACCACUGGACAAAUCAACAGUCUGCACAAAACCUAACAGUGAGCGGAAAAAAUUCAAAUUUGAAAAUUAGAAGACCAGGCCUCCUCAUUAAAAGCCGCGGGACCCACGCGAUUUCUGCUCCUUUAGUGCGACACUAUAUCCACCUCAAAUCAAGGAGUUCUAUCCAUAGAAGAAACAUAUUAAAGGAAGGAUUCCUAAUUCAAAGCAAAGAAGAAUUUCUAUUCUCAAAGGGACUUUACUAGGGUUAAGCACCUAUAUAAGCCCAUCAUUGAGGACAAUCGAAACAUCUCUUCUUCAGCAUCGAGCCUUCAUCUUGAAUUCUCUCUUCUCUUUUGUGUUUUCUUUGAAAUCCAUGAGUGGCUAAACUCUUUAUUUCUAGUUGAAGUUUGGGUGAAAUUUCAGUUUAUACAUGAAUUGUGAGAUCUAGAUACAAUUCUUCAUCUUUUAUUCUUUCAAUAUUUAUGCAAAUUUAGUUCUUCAUAUUAUUAUUGCUUUGUUAUUUGAUCAAUAGGGCCUAUUGUUCUUAAUCUCAAAGUAAUAUAUUGCAAGUUUGAAUGCUUGAAAUCCAUAAUUGUUUAGAUUAUUCAACAAUAAGUAACAAUUAGUGUAACCCACUAAAAAGUUGCAUGAUCUAACUUAGACUCACCACGCGGUUUGGUUGGUUGAUUAGAAUUAGGUCUCUCUAAUUCUUAAAGCGGGUGAAAAAUUAAAUCCUAGAGACGUUCUUUGGGCGAUUUAUUGGUUAGGGUUAAUUAGCGAACGUUUUCUAAUUAAUUUAAACUUAAGGAGAGAUUGGUUAUGUGGAGUGUCUUCCAUAACUAUAACUAAUUU